UCUAAGAUGGCAGAUUAGUGCAUAUGAUUUAGGAUCAUAAAAUAUAUAUUUUAUAUUCUUAGAA
This 64-nucleotide transfer RNA is filed under the name Loxocorone allax. RNAcentral's name for it is "tRNA-Leu(UAG)". The record is from RNAcentral. Lineage: Eukaryota; Metazoa; Entoprocta; Loxosomatidae.